RNAcentral lists this ribosomal RNA (468 nucleotides) under uncultured bacterium. Its description in RNAcentral is "partial 16S ribosomal RNA". It matches the Rfam family "Bacterial small subunit ribosomal RNA", at positions 28 to 507 of the family's 1533-position model. The record is from RNAcentral.
GACGAACGCUGGCGGCGUGCUUAACACAUGCAAGUCGAACGGAAAGGCCCUGCUUUUGUGGGGUGCUCGAGUGGCGAACGGGUGAGUAACACGUGAGUAACCUGCCCUUGACUUUGAGAUAACUUCAGGAAACUGAGGCUAAUACCGGAUAGGAGCUCCUGCUGCAUGGUGGGGGUUGGAAAGUUUCGGCGGUUGGGGAUGGACUCGCGGCUUAUCAGCUUGUUGGUGGGGUAGUGGCUUACCAAGGCUUUGACGGGUAGCCGGCCUGAGAGGGUGACCGGCCACAUUGGGACUGAGAUACGGCCCAGACUCCUACGGGAGGCAGCAGUGGGGAAUAUUGCACAAUGGGCGGAAGCCUGAUGCAGCAACGCCGCGUGCGGGAUGACGGCCUUCGGGUUGUAAACCACUUUCGCCUGUGACGAAGCGUGAGUGACGGUAAUGGGUAAAGAAGCACCGGCUAACUACGUG